Molecule: ribosomal RNA, 649 nt
Filed under: uncultured archaeon
Lineage: Archaea
Description: bacterial SSU rRNA
Rfam family: Archaeal small subunit ribosomal RNA
Source: RNAcentral
GGGCACUGGAAGGUNCNUAAACCGAAAGGGGCUCUGCCCGCCCGAGGAUGGGCCGGCGGCCGAUUAGGUAGUUGGUGGGGUAACGGCCCACCAAGCCCAUAAUCGGUACGGGCAGUGAGAGCUGGAGCCCGGAGAUGGACACUGAGACACGGGUCCAGGCCNUACGGGGCGCAGCAGGCGCGAAACCUCCGCAAUGCUCGAAAGAGCGACGGGGGGACCCCAAGUGCCGUGGUACAACCACGGCUUUUCCGGAGUGUAAGAAGCUCCGGGAAUAAGGGCUGGGCAAGGCCGGUGGCAGCCGCCGCGGUAAUACCGGCGGCCCGAGUGGUGGCCACUAUUAUUGGGCCUAAAGCGUCCGUAGCCGGGCUUGUAAGUCCCUGGCGAAAUCCCACGGCUCAACCGUGGGGCUUGCUGGGGAUACUGCAAGCCUUGGGACCGGGAGAGGCCGGGGGUACUCCUGGGGUAGGGGUGAAAUCCUAUAAUCCCAGGAGGACCGCCAGUGGCGAAGGCGCCCGGCUGGAACGGGUCCGACGGUGAGGGACGAAGGCCAGGGGAGCAAACCGGAUUAGAUACCCGGGUAGUCCUGGCCGUAAACGAUGUGGGCUUGGCAUUGGGGGUUCUACGUGAGCGCCCAGUGUCGUAGCGAAGG